CAAUCCUAUUUGGGAUAACUGUGGUAAUUCUAAGCUAAUACAUGAAGCAGGGCUCUGACCUCGCGGAAAGAGCGCGUUUAUUAAUCAAAACCAGCCCGGGUUCGCAGGGCCCGCCCGGAUUGUGAGACUGGAUAACUUUGUGCUGAUCGCACGGCCUCGCGCCGCGACGUAUCUUAAAAUGUCCCCUAUCAACUUUCGAUGGUAGGGAUAUGCCUACCAUGGUUGUAACGGGUAACGGGAAUCGGGUUCGAUUCCGGAGAGGAGCAUGAAACGGCUACCACCCCAAGGGAAAGGGGCAGCAGGCGCGCAAAUUACCCCUCCUGGCACGGGGAGGUAGGUGACGAAAAAUAACAAUACGGGUCUUUCGACCCAUUGGAAUGAGUACACUUAAACCCUUUAACGAGGAUCUAUUGGGGGGGCAAGUCUGGUGCCAGCAGCCGCGGAAAUUUCCCAAACUCAAUAGCGUAUAAAAGUUGUUGCAGUUAAAAAAGCUCGUAGUUGGAUCUCGGGUCAGCGCGGUCCGACCCUGUCGGUUACUGCUCGUCUGACCUACCUCCGUUUCCCCUUGGUGCUCUUGACUGAGUGUCGGGGGCCCGGAACGUUUACUGAAAAAAUUAGAGUGUUCAAAGCAGGCAAUAUCCCCUGAAUAAUGGUGCAUGGAAUAAUGGAAGGGGACCUCGGGUUCUAUUUGCUGGUUUCGGCUCGAGUAAUGAUUAAGAGGGACUGACGGGGCAUUCGUAUUACGGUGUUAGAGGUGAAAUUCUUGGAUCGCCGUAAGACGAACUACUGCGCAUUGCCAAGCAUGUUUUCAUUAGUCAGAACGAAGGUCAGAGGUUCGAAGACGAUCAAAAUACCGUCGUGUUCUGACCAUAAACGAUGCAAUAGCGAUCCCCCGGAGUUGCUUCAAUGACUCGGCAGGCCCCCGAGCCAAGUUUUUGGGUUCCGGAAGUAUGUUCAAAGCUGAGCAAGGAAUUGACGGGGCACCACCGGGGUUGGAGCCUGCGGCUUAAUUGACUCAACACGGAAACUCACCCCCCCGGACACUGUAAGGAUUGACAGAUUGAGGCUCUUUCUUGAUUCGGUGGGUGGUGGUGCAGGGCCGUUCUUAGUUGGUGGAGCGAUUUGUCUGGUUAAUUUUCCGAUAACAACGAGACUCUAGCCUCUAAAUGGUUCCGAUCCCCUUUUGCGUCGGCGCAACUUAGAGGGACAAGUGGCGUUUAGCCACGAGAUGAGCAAUAACGGUCUGUGAUCCCUUAAGAUGUUCGGGGCCGCACGCGCGCUACACUGAAGGAAUCAGCGUGUCUCUGCCUUGCCUGGAAAGGUCGGGUAACCCGUUGAACCUCCUUCGUGCUGGGGAUUGGGGCUUGUAAUUCUUCCCCAUGAACGAGGAAUUCCCAGUAGCGCGAGUCUAAGCUCGCGUUGAUUACGUCCCUGCCCUUGUACACCGCCCGUCGCUACUACCGAUUGGGCGUUUUAGUAAACGCCUCGGAUUGGACCCGGAAAUGGUUGGCAACAACCGACCGGUGUGCCGAAGAGCGCAAACGAACGCCUGAGAGUAAAAGUCGCCAAAAAGGGUUUUCCCUGGUGAACCUGCGGAAGGAUCG
Molecule: ribosomal RNA, 1604 nt
Filed under: Mytilus coruscus
Lineage: Eukaryota; Metazoa; Mollusca; Bivalvia; Mytilida; Mytilidae
Description: SSU rRNA
Rfam family: Eukaryotic small subunit ribosomal RNA
Source: RNAcentral